UCAGUGUGUGUGUUAGUGGAAGCGUCUGGAAAGGCGCGCGAUACAGGGUGACAGCCCCGUACACAAAAAUGCACAUGCUGUGAGCUCGAUGAGUAGGGCGGGACACGUGGUAUCCUGUCUGAAUAUGGGGGGACCAUCCUCCAAGGCUAAAUACUCCUGACUGACCGAUAGUGAACCAGUACCGUGAGGGAAAGGCGAAAAGAACCCCGGCGAGGGGAGUGAAAAAGAACCUGAAACCGUGUACGUACAAGCAGUGGGAGCACGCUUAGGCGUGUGACUGCGUACCUUUUGUAUAAUGGGUCAGCGACUUAUAUUCUGUAGCAAGGUUAACCGAAUAGGGGAGCCGAAGGGAAACCGAGUCUUAACUGGGCGUUAAGUUGCAGGGUAUAGACCCGAAACCCGGUGAUCUAGCCAUGGGCAGGUUGAAGGUUGGGUAACACUAACUGGAGGACCGAACCGACUAAUGUUGAAAAAUUAGCGGAUGACUUGUGGCUGGGGGUGAAAGGCCAAUCAAACCGGGAGAUAGCUGGUUCUCCCCGAAAGCUAUUUAGGUAGCGCCUCGUGAAUUCAUCUCCGGGGGUAG
This 583-nucleotide ribosomal RNA is filed under the name Escherichia coli. Its description in RNAcentral is "partial 23S ribosomal RNA". It matches the Rfam family "Bacterial large subunit ribosomal RNA", at positions 317 to 905 of the family's 2925-position model. The record is from RNAcentral. Lineage: Bacteria; Pseudomonadati; Pseudomonadota; Gammaproteobacteria; Enterobacterales; Enterobacteriaceae.